UGCAAGUCGAACGGUAACGACACUAGCUUGCUAGUGGUCGACGAGUGGCGGACGGGUGAGUAACGCGUAGGAAUCUACCUAGUAGUGGGGGAUAGCCAAGGGAAACUUUGGGUAAUACCGCAUACGAUCUAAGGAUGAAAGGGGGCCUCUCUUUGAAGCUCUCGCUAUUAGAUGAGCCUGCGUAAGAUUAGCUUGUUGGUGGGGUAAUGGCCCACCAAGGCGACGAUCUUUAGCUGGUCUGAGAGGAUGAUCAGUCACACUGGAACUGAGACACGGUCCAGACUCCUACGGGAGGCAGCAGUCGGGAAUAUUGGACAAUGGGGGAAACCCUGAUCCAGCCAUGCCGCGUGUGUGAAGAAGGCCCUAGGGUUGUAAAGCACUUUUAGUAGUGAGGAAGGCUCAGUAGUUAAUACCUACUGGGAUUGACGUUAGCUACAGAAAAAGCACCGGCUAAUUUCGUGCCAGCAGCCGCGGUAAUACGGAGGGUGCAAGCGUUAAUCGGAAUUACUGGGCGUAAAGCGCGCGUAGGCGGCUUGGUAAGUUGGAUGUGAAAGCCCCGGGCUCAACCUGGGAACUGCAUUCAAAACUGACUGACUAGAGUAUGGUAGAGGGUGGUGGAAUUUCCUGUGUAGCGGUGAAAUGCGUAAUAUCGGAAGGAACACCAGUGGCGAA
Molecule: ribosomal RNA, 672 nt
Filed under: uncultured Gammaproteobacteria bacterium
Lineage: Bacteria; Pseudomonadati; Pseudomonadota; Gammaproteobacteria
Description: bacterial SSU rRNA
Rfam family: Bacterial small subunit ribosomal RNA
Source: RNAcentral